GAAAAUCAUGUCUAAGCUUGCAGAUCCCUUGUUUAACACGCAAAUUUUCUUGUGUGUCUCGUCCAAUUCAUACUCCAAGUUUCUGUUUUUCUCUUUCUCCAAUGCAAGAGCUUCCCUAUGAUAAAUGAACUUGUACUCCAAUGCAUGUUUUUUCCAUGAAAGAUAGUUUACUUAAACAAUCAUGAUGAACAUGGUCCAACUUCAGAACAGUCCCAGUUUCGUCUAACAACUUCGUAUAGGUAGAGCCAAUGCUUCUUCUUUCUUGUGUUUCAAA
RNAcentral lists this long non-coding RNA (274 nucleotides) under Brassica napus (rape). Its description in RNAcentral is "long non-coding RNA (BNAP_LNC016435)". The record is from RNAcentral. Lineage: Eukaryota; Viridiplantae; Streptophyta; Magnoliopsida; Brassicales; Brassicaceae.